Molecule: ribosomal RNA, 1232 nt
Filed under: Micrococcus luteus
Lineage: Bacteria; Bacillati; Actinomycetota; Actinomycetes; Micrococcales; Micrococcaceae
Description: bacterial SSU rRNA
Rfam family: Bacterial small subunit ribosomal RNA
Source: RNAcentral
CAGCUUGCUGGGUGGAUUAGUGGCGAACGGGUGAGUAACACGUGAGUAACCUGCCCUUAACUCUGGGAUAAGCCUGGGAAACUGGGUCUAAUACCGGAUAGGAGCGUCCACCGCAUGGUGGGUGUUGGAAAGAUUUAUCGGUUUUGGAUGGACUCGCGGCCUAUCAGCUUGUUGGUGAGGUAAUGGCUCACCAAGGCGACGACGGGUAGCCGGCCUGAGAGGGUGACCGGCCACACUGGGACUGAGACACGGCCCAGACUCCUACGGGAGGCAGCAGUGGGGAAUAUUGCACAAUGGGCGAAAGCCUGAUGCAGCGACGCCGCGUGAGGGAUGACGGCCUUCGGGUUGUAAACCUCUUUCAGUAGGGAAGAAGCGAAAGUGACGGUACCUGCAGAAGAAGCACCGGCUAACUACGUGCCAGCAGCCGCGGUAAUACGUAGGGUGCGAGCGUUAUCCGGAAUUAUUGGGCGUAAAGAGCUCGUAGGCGGUUUGUCGCGUCUGUCGUGAAAGUCCGGGGCUUAACCCCGGAUCUGCGGUGGGUACGGGCAGACUAGAGUGCAGUAGGGGAGACUGGAAUUCCUGGUGUAGCGGUGGAAUGCGCAGAUAUCAGGAGGAACACCGAUGGCGAAGGCAGGUCUCUGGGCUGUAACUGACGCUGAGGAGCGAAAGCAUGGGGAGCGAACAGGAUUAGAUACCCUGGUAGUCCAUGCCGUAAACGUUGGGCACUAGGUGUGGGGACCAUUCCACGGUUUCCGCGCCGCAGCUAACGCAUUAAGUGCCCCGCCUGGGGAGUACGGCCGCAAGGCUAAAACUCAAAGGAAUUGACGGGGGCCCGCACAAGCGGCGGAGCAUGCGGAUUAAUUCGAUGCAACGCGAAGAACCUUACCAAGGCUUGACAUGUUCUCGAUCGCCGUAGAGAUACGGUUUCCCCUUUGGGGCGGGUUCACAGGUGGUGCAUGGUUGUCGUCAGCUCGUGUCGUGAGAUGUUGGGUUAAGUCCCGCAACGAGCGCAACCCUCGUUCCAUGUUGCCAGCACGUCGUGGUGGGGACUCAUGGGAGACUGCCGGGGUCAACUCGGAGGAAGGUGAGGACGACGUCAAAUCAUCAUGCCCCUUAUGUCUUGGGCUUCACGCAUGCUACAAUGGCCGGUACAAUGGGUUGCGAUACUGUGAGGUGGAGCUAAUCCCAAAAAGCCGGUCUCAGUUCGGAUUGGGGUCUGCAACUCGACCCCA